This 1027-nucleotide ribosomal RNA is filed under the name Escherichia coli. RNAcentral's name for it is "partial 23S ribosomal RNA". It matches the Rfam family "Bacterial large subunit ribosomal RNA", at positions 165 to 1233 of the family's 2925-position model. Lineage: Bacteria; Pseudomonadati; Pseudomonadota; Gammaproteobacteria; Enterobacterales; Enterobacteriaceae. The record is from RNAcentral.
CAUAGGUUAAUGAGGCGAACCGGGGGAACUGAAACAUCUAAGUACCCCGAGGAAAAGAAAUCAACCGAGAUUCCCCCAGUAGCGGCGAGCGAACGGGGAGGAGCCCAGAGCCUGAAUCAGUGUGUGUGUUAGUGGAAGCGUCUGGAAAGGCGCGCGAUACAGGGUGACAGCCCCGUACACAAAAAUGCACAUAUUGUGAGCUCGAUGAGUAGGGCGGGACACGUGGUAUCCUGUCUGAAUAUGGGGGGACCAUCCUCCAAGGCUAAAUACUCCUGACUGACCGAUAGUGAACCAGUACCGUGAGGGAAAGGCGAAAAGAACCCCGGCGAGGGGAGUGAAAAAGAACCUGAAACCGUGUACGUACAAGCAGUGGGAGCCUCUUAAUGGGGUGACUGCGUACCUUUUGUAUAAUGGGUCAGCGACUUAUAUUCUGUAGCAAGGUUAACCGAAUAGGGGAGCCGAAGGGAAACCGAGUCUUAACUGGGCGUUAAGUUGCAGGGUAUAGACCCGAAACCCGGUGAUCUAGCCAUGGGCAGGUUGAAGGUUGGGUAACACUAACUGGAGGACCGAACCGACUAAUGUUGAAAAAUUAGCGGAUGACUUGUGGCUGGGGGUGAAAGGCCAAUCAAACCGGGAGAUAGCUGGUUCUCCCCGAAAGCUAUUUAGGUAGCGCCUCGUGAAUUCAUCUCCGGGGGUAGAGCACUGUUUCGGCAAGGGGGUCAUCCCGACUUACCAACCCGAUGCAAACUGCGAAUACCGGAGAAUGUUAUCACGGGAGACACACGGCGGGUGCUAACGUCCGUCGUGAAGAGGGAAACAACCCAGACCGCCAGCUAAGGUCCCAAAGUCAUGGUUAAGUGGGAAACGAUGUGGGAAGGCCCAGACAGCCAGGAUGUUGGCUUAGAAGCAGCCAUCAUUUAAAGAAAGCGUAAUAGCUCACUGGUCGAGUCGGCCUGCGCGGAAGAUGUAACGGGGCUAAACCAUGCACCGAAGCUGCGGCAGCGACACUAUGUGUUGUUGGGUAGGG